Long non-coding RNA from Perca fluviatilis (European perch), 668 nucleotides. RefSeq lists it as uncharacterized. NCBI's taxonomy places the organism in Eukaryota, Metazoa, Chordata, Actinopteri, Perciformes, Percidae. The transcript has 2 exons. The record is from RefSeq and is a predicted model, not a curated record.
CAGAAAACAUUAAUCGCAGACGAGGGAGCACGAGGCGGCAGAGUGAAGCGUUGAUAAGUUCCCAGACAACAUUGUUUAUCCCCCAUCUGACCCUGCAGCCCCUGGAAAAGUGCAUUCAUGUGUGUAUGUCUUCUGUCAUCUUUGCGCAUAUCACACCCCUGGACCACCAAUGGUACCUGUACAUCCCAAAACAUGUGUACAUCAGCCUUCUGCAGAUGUGGCUUUGUGCAAAAGGGGGGCUUAACUACCAAUGACACAGAGCGUUUAAGAGGAGGAGGAGGAGGAGGAGUUAUUGAGUGUUGUGGUGGUUGCUAGACGACUGCAGUGUAAAUAAAUUGCAAGAGAAAGAAAAAAGAAACCAAAAAAAAAAAGCCAUGUAAACUGUGGUCCGCAGCGUGAGGCCUUUUCUGAGAUCUCUGGGGAGUAUUGUGAAAAGGGGGAUGACUGGUAAGGGAUAACGUGAGCUGUGCCUAUCCCUGUUACACACCCCAGCUGGACUGGGAUUUGGGCUUCAGACACCAGCUGGAAGGAAGAAACUCCCCUACCACCCUGUCACACUCUAGCAAGAAAAAAAGCCUUCAAGUCCUGUGUGACGAUUAAGCAUGAGAGCAAAUACUGUACACGUACUGUAAGUACUAAAAUAAAACUGAUUAUGCAAUGAAAUGAAA